Molecule: long non-coding RNA, 1631 nt
Organism: Eutrema salsugineum
Lineage: Eukaryota; Viridiplantae; Streptophyta; Magnoliopsida; Brassicales; Brassicaceae
Exons: 3
Source: RefSeq, a predicted model, not a curated record
CAAAAAAAAAAACAAAACCCUAGGCAAUGAACCUUCGACUCUUGAAGGAUUUUGGUUUUUCUUCUUUGCCGGUGCGGAUUUCCUCCUCACUGUCGCCGAUUUUCAGUCCGCCACCCGAACAGGAAAGUUUUCUUUCCCCCUCCCCCCCCUUCGUCUCUAUUCCCCUGUCUUCCUCUUCAUUGUGCAGAUCUGAAAUUUAGUAUUUUUUGUUUGCAGAUCUGCAUUUGCCGCCGAUUGCCUAUCAUCGCUGCAGAAAAUUUUGUGUAACGAAAUGAUCUUGUUGCCUCUCGUCACGGCCGGUUGCAUCUCAUCACGCUGGUUCCCUCACGCGGCGUAUCUCUGGUUCCCUCAUGCGCAACCAUUCUCUGAUUUGUAGAUUUUAGUAGACUUCUUAUGGUUUUAAUAUACUUCUUAGGUCCAAGCACUGACGAUAUAAUAGAAGCUUGUUUUAUUUGCUCAUCAUGGACUCAGUAUAAUAGACUGAUGUUGGGAUAUCUUGGGAUCUACACUGGUUUCAUUGUAGCACAGAAACUCAGUACACCCCCAACGGGUCAGCAUGGCUAAAUUAGUGGUGGAUUUAGAAGCUUUUGAGAACUACCCAUUGGGAAGAAUAGGUUUUUAGAAUAUGAUGGCUUCUGUGAAGGAAAAAAGUGGAUUUAAGUAGGACUAUUUCUAUCGAUAGAUUUGUGCAAGCUCUCCAAGUGUGGAUCUAAUAUGCUCCUCCAGAAUAUGCUGCUGAAUUAGCUAACCCAUUGCCAAAUAACCCAACUCUUCUGCUGCUGGCUUACAAAGGAUCAAGAGGCCAGAAGUACGUCAAAGAGAACAUGCUAAAACAGGUCCACAUACAUAACUGCGUUAUAAAGAAAUUAGACAAUAUGUUACCAGUGUGGGAUGAUGAGAAAGAAGAUGUGGAGGUUCACAAUGUUGUCAAAGCAUAGUUUCAAUAAUCGUGGAAGAGGAGUAAAGAGAAUUGGCUUCUUGUUGGUGCUCUGAAAGCAAACACUGUCAAGGCAGAGAAAUCGAUGGACAACAAAAGGAGAUUCGUGUCAGAGAUGAAGAAAGCCGAAAGAGGGCCUGCACAGACUCUGCAUCUGUUGCCUUUCAUAUAGAUCAGGAUGGGGUCGGACUGGUUGCUACAAUGAAAGCACACUUCGACCAAUGCUUCAAAAGCUUCUCUAUGAAGAUGUUCAAUGGUCUAACUGGUUGUGAAAAGCAGAUCCAACUCCUUAGCGAGAAGGUAGAAAAAGUUGAGCAAGCCGUAGAGGUGGUGAAAGCCGCUUCGAGAAAGAAUGUUUAAGAAGAGGAGCAGGUCAAAGACAAUGAAGAUUCUAAAUCGAAACUCUCAAGCCAUGAGAAGAAUGUGGACGCCACCAUCCCAGAGGAACAAGGGGUUAGACUCAAACCCUCUCAGAAAACACAAAUAUCAUACAUGAGAACAAGAUCAAGGAAACAAAAACUGAAAAUAUAAUGAAAUAAACAUGGACUAUUUCUGAAUUUGAGCAUUUCUAAUAAUGAUGUCUAGUGUGAGGACAUGUUUAUUUGUUUUCUCAAUUUAUGUUUCCAAUUUCUAGACUUUGGUUUUAUGUUUAGUGUUGACAAUUAUGUUAAUAAAUGUUUUGAUGUUGUUGUUA